UACAGAGGUGGCAAGCGUUGUUCGGAAUUACUGGGCGUAAAGGGCGCGUAGGCGGUUCGUUAAGUCCUGUGUGAAAUCCCCCGGCUCAACUGGGGAACUGCACAGGAAACUAGCGGGCUUGAGUUCGGGAGAGGGAAGCGGAAUUCCGGGUGUAGCGGUGAAAUGCGUAGAUAUCCGGAGGAACACCGGUGGCGAAGGCGGCUUCCUGGACCGACACUGACGCUGAGGCGCGAAAGCUAGGGGAGUAAACGGG
RNAcentral lists this ribosomal RNA (253 nucleotides) under uncultured bacterium. RNAcentral describes it as "partial 16S ribosomal RNA". It matches the Rfam family "Bacterial small subunit ribosomal RNA", at positions 524 to 776 of the family's 1533-position model. The record is from RNAcentral.